This 21-nucleotide microRNA is filed under the name Ornithorhynchus anatinus (platypus). RNAcentral describes it as "oan-miR-1338-5p". The record is from miRBase by way of RNAcentral. Lineage: Eukaryota; Metazoa; Chordata; Mammalia; Monotremata; Ornithorhynchidae.
CAGGGAGCAGACCAGUCCAGU